CCUACGGGUGGCAGCAGUGGGGAAUUUUGGACAAUGGGCGCAAGCCUGAUCCAGCUAUUCCGCGUGUGGGAUGAAGGCCCUCGGGUUGUAAACCACUUUUGUAGAGAACGAAAAGACACCUUUUAAUAAAGGGUGUUGCUGACGGUACUCUAAGAAUAAGCAUCGGCUAACUACGUGCCAGCAGCCGCGGUAAUACGUAGGGUGCGAGCGUUAAUCGGAUUUAUGGGGCGUAAAGGGUGCGCAGGCGGUUGAGUAAGACAGAGGUGAAAUCCCGGAGCUUAACUCGGGAAUGGCAUAUGUGACUGUGCGGCUAGAGUGUGUCAGAGGGAGGUGGAAUGCCACGUGUAGCAGUGAAAUGCGUAGAUAUGUGGAAGAACACCGAUGGCGAAGGCAGCCUCCUGGGACAUAACUGACGCUGAGGCACGAAAGCGUGGGGAGCGAACAGGAUUAGAUACCCCUGUAGUC
This 465-nucleotide ribosomal RNA is filed under the name uncultured bacterium. Its description in RNAcentral is "partial 16S ribosomal RNA". It matches the Rfam family "Bacterial small subunit ribosomal RNA", at positions 338 to 795 of the family's 1533-position model. The record is from RNAcentral.